RNAcentral lists this long non-coding RNA (5297 nucleotides) under Penaeus chinensis. RNAcentral describes it as "uncharacterized LOC125034313". Lineage: Eukaryota; Metazoa; Arthropoda; Malacostraca; Decapoda; Penaeidae. The record is from RNAcentral.
UUUUUAUUAAGGAAGAGUACAACAAAGUAAAGGAACGCAUGAGACGUUAUCUUGUGGCAGGAGCUGAGCGCGGUGUCGCGUGUCCGGCCAGCCAGCCGGACACGCUGGGAGCGGAGCCGAAGGGUCAGACGAGGGUUGAUGUAAUCAUCUAGGUCCUCGCUGAUGUGAGGGUUCCAAAUUGACUUAGAGCCAUGUGUUAAAUAGCCACGUCUAUUGGUCUAAUGGCUUACACAAAUCGUGCUUAUGUACAUGCCAUAUAGUUCGGCCACCUACUCACGCCUCUCCCUCAAGGUGCCUCAAGGUGCCUUUGGCUUCAAAGGGUGACCCAACUUUGGCUGGUCCUGAUUUGCUGGUCAUCUCGUUCUCGCCUGCCUUGUCCUUUGCCCAUCUUCGUGGCUGCUCGUCCUUGUCGUCCUCUUCUUCUUCCAGGUCCUUGGUGUAAUCCAUUCGUCCUCGAAUGGAUUUCACCAAUGGAUAACUUCGGACUUGUCUGAAUUUACGGGCGACCGGGCAGGCGGUGUCCUCUUCGGCAUCUCAGGGCAGCUGAUACCUGCGCUGACGAGCUUCUGGAGUUUGAUUGGAUCUGUGGGCGUCCAGGAAGGCGUAUGGUGGGGAGACGUCAGUAGCGAUCCGCAUGGACCUGGCUUGAACCACCAACCAUCUCUGAUAGACAUAAGAGUAGAUAAGGGAAACGACAACGGCAAUCCGCAAGGAUUUACUUGAACCAAUUGUCGUCACACACAGAAGAAAUGUACGCAUGAUAAGAAAUUGGACAACAAAUACUAGCCACUCGUCACGACUGGCAAAAUCACGGGCAAAAGAGGAACAUCACCUGCAACUACAACAGCAACAACCCUAUUAUGAAAAGGUUUCAGUGUCCUUUGUUCUGCGUGGACGAGUGAAUUAGUGAGCGUGUGUGUGUGAACGAUGGUGAGUGUUAAGGUGAGAGUUAGCCCACACAGAGAAUGAAUCACAAGCAAGAAGAUGAACGUUCAUUUUAACAACAAUGCGAUAAACUAGCAAUGAAAUUUAUACAAAAAUAAUUAAACUACCACAAUGAAUUCAACAUUUAAUGAUAUGCCACGUCUUGCAUAGCUUGACAUGGCUGCCGAUCGAACUAUCGUACCGUCGGAGCGUAGAUCUGUUGGGCGUUAUACGCAACCCCGGGUUACAUCGGGCAUCUCUGUGCACUAUGAUAUGGGGAAGAGUCUAACGCUAUACUCAAAAUAGUAAAUUUACAUAAAAAUCGCGUUACAAGCUCCGCUCUAGCGCAGAUAGAAUCGUCACAAUGAGCAUUGUGACGAUGCUACGGUUAUCCCUAUGGAGUCAACAACAACCAAACUACGGGAAAAACGAGCGGUCACCCCAUGCCCCUUCCACAUACCCAACCGACAGGAAGGGAAAGAAAAGUGAGGUCAGUUCGGGUCGUAAAGAGGAACGAGAUCCAUUAAUAAACUUAUAUGAUGUCCAUGAUAACGGUACAAAAUCACGAACGCGUUAAAUCCGUUGUAUGUGAAACAAUAAAAAAAAAAAAAAACUAAUAACGAGAAAAUUAUUAAAUACUACAUUAAUUAACGAUAUUUCGUGUUUGUUGACAAAUGCCGUGAUCAGACAGUAAUGCGAUCUAAGGUCAGAAGAAUAGUGUGAGACGCUGCGAUUUCGUCACUCGGCGUUUUACCCAACAAAACCAACGUGAGAGUGACUGCACAUGACUACUAUGGCAGGCAACGUUCCCCCGAUGGAAAAGAUUUCUCCAUUUUUUCCCAAGACUACAACAAACUCCUUAAACAUCUGUAUUGGUAAGUCUUAAACAAUAACCAUUAUCUUUUAUCAGCGUCAUUUUACCACAAACAUCUUGGUAACUAUUUGUAAAAGCAUUCUUUUGGUUUCAUCGUAAUAUUCUGCCCCGAACCCCUUUACCCAGUUUCUCCUGACAUCAGGUAAUAACAACCUCCUCCCUCAGUACAAGUAUGAAGUUCGAAAGUCAACCUUGCCCUCUUAGAAAUAUGAAAUGUACAUAUAUAGAAUGGCUCUGUUGCACCCCAAGAGGAAAUCAGAAAAAAAAGUCUUCUUGGACGUACUUUAUUACUAGAUGCUGUACAAAGGUUGAAACUGUUUGUAUACAACAAAUGAAAGAAUGAACGAUACAAGGCCAAAAAACAGGCCUCCUUUCAGUCCUCCAAAUGGAUGAGAAUGAAGCCCUAAAGUGUGAUUGAUCAACAGCAGAGGCAAUCUUGUUGGAAUCAGUCCAUCAUAUUCACAGUCCGUUUUGCCAGUUGCGUGAGAAAUAAAAUCUGAAUAUUUGUGUUUGAAGCUUCACUUUUAAACCCCAUCACAAACUAGGAAAUAUAUAUGUAGUUUUGGACUUUCCUUCUUAAGUAAUGAGUCAUAUUACCUCAGGGCAAAAGGAUUUUAAACAGAAAAAAAGAUAAUAUACAACUUAGCAUAUAAAUACGCACCUAAUGACUGUACAUUUAAUAAUGAUCUAGUAAAAAAUAAUAGUUACAAUUGCCCUUGGAAAUAAGGAAUAUACUUCUCAAUAGCUUAUCCUGCUUAACACUUUGCACUCAAGCCAUGUCUGUGUUUCUGCAUCAUAAGUUACUAAUUUCAGUGAUCAUAUAAACUUUUACCUUUUUUUUUUUUUUUUUUUUGAGUGCUUGACAUCUGCUCAAGUCCCUAAGGUACUGACUGACUUCACACAAGCUGCUUAACCAGUCAGACACUCUACAGUCACUGCAGAAGUCAAGUACUCUUUCAAACAAAACUGGAAACAUGUGGCAUAGUAGUAAGAGAAAUAAAACAUUGAAAAUCAACUUCAAUUCAGUUUUGGUUUACAGUUUGUGCAUCACUGGGAAAUUCAGUAAUGAAGAAAAAUGAGAAUAAUCUACCUUAGUAUCUUUUUUGUGAUAGAAUAUGAGGAAAAAAAUAAGCUGUGACCUUAACUUGACAGAAUAUUAGUAUUCUAUCUUUCAAUAAUAAAGAACAACUAAGACACAAGAAAAAUUCUUCCAGAGUAAAAUACAUUCGACUGUCGAAUGUUUAUUUGUAUUUCCAUAAUGAUAAACUUUACUAGUUUAACAAUGAAAAGCAGAUAGAAAUCUUACAGUCACUGGGAUUCACAAGUUUAGAAAGACAAUGUGAUGAACCUUUUCUGUGAUGAGUAUAAAAAAAAACCCACUGACACCCUAAUUUGUCUUGGCAUUCAAAAUACAUCACAUCUUACACAUUAAAAUAGGGAAAGGGAAGAUAUGAGGAGCCUAUAUUUUUUAGUCACCACUCGGCUAUCACAACUAUAUUAUCAGUGACCAGAGAAAUAAAUACUGGAAAAAAAUAAAUACAUAAAUAAAAAUCUAUGGCCACCAAAAUGCCCCAUUGGCCUUUCAAAUUACUGUAGAAAUUAUGUUUGUAAUUCAAGCAGUUAAAAAAAAAAUACACAUACAUUUAACACCACCUUUAUUACCCUCCUCCUAUAGUCUGCCAUAAUAUCCAAACUUACAUAAAUUCACAGCAGGUCUAUUAAGAAAAAAAUAAAAAAUACAAUACGCUGAAUAUUUUUUUUCAUUUUCUUCUUUCAUCUCAGGUAAUGACUAAAAAAUUGGCCUGUACACUUAAUACAUAUUUUACAGAGCUGCUGACGGUCAAGGCUGGAUUGAAGGUCCCAGGCUUGCAUCAUGAAAAUAAUAUCUUAUCCAUAAAGUAUCUAAAAAUAUUAUUCUAAUUACACAGAAGACUAUAUUUUUUCUUGUAUUUCCAGAUUCACUGCAUAGCCUCUACUCUACAUGUAAAUAAAUAUUAAUCUCUACAUUGGCUACUACACAGCACAUAUGUACAUAUUAUCCCUGCCAAAUCAUACCCAUGAGAAACUAGGGAAAGGGCCUUUUUGCACCAGUGACUUAAGGGUCAUUUUCACGCACCAGCCAAGACGACCCUUGAGGUUGAAGAUGGCGAUGUUCACAGCACGUCCAAAUGCUUAUCAAUGGUGUGCAGCAAGAUCGCGCAGAGUUUGGAAAUUCAAAUCAUGCCAGUACCAAAAUAAUACAAACUUUGGUGAUUUGCAAACAAAAGUCAUUGAAUCGUUCCCAUUUCUCGCCUACAAUGAUUUGUGUACACAGUUUCUUUAUAUCAUACAAAAGGUGAAGAGUCAAAGACUACCAUAUAAAGACAUUAGUUCUCAUUGUGAAGCACUCCAUCCUAAUAUACUUUGGCCAUUUGCAAAACGUCAUAAAAUUAUUACUAUAUCGUUUUAACAUAAUAAUGCACCAAAGGGCUAUGAUUGGACACGGAUGUAGGAAGAUUCGUGCUAAAAUGCCAAGUAACAACACUAGCUUCCAGUUUGGCCAUUUACUCAAAAUAAUUUGGGCUGAAUGUCUCUUACUCCAAACUCAACAUUCACAAAGAAUUCGGCCCCAGGAGUCUUAGAAUAAGGCAGAUGGUGCUCGUUUGGGCUCUGUGUUUUUUUCCUUUUUGUUUUUCUUUUAACUCUUUUUUUUAUGUCUUACUAAUGUGUUUUAUAAUCUAUAAAGUAGCUGGACUGGACCUGGAUAACUUGUGUUUAGCAAUUAUAUUCAAAGCUGUCUGUAGUUAUUCACUUUUUUUCCUGAACAACAUGACAAGGAAGUCUUACCUGCUGUGUUGUGCACUUUCUGAAUGACCACGUUUCUUUUUGGAAGUUAAAAAUCCCUGAAUGAUACUAACCUAUAUGCCAAAAAUAAAGGCCAUUCAUUAUCAAUACAUUUAUCAUUAUGAUUUUUCUGCACAGAUCUUAACAUUAGAAACUUUCAAAUAUGGCUCUGUUGGUGCAGUUAUUAAAUGGCAAGCACAUAAUGUAUAAAACUGUCUUUGGUUAGAUUAAGCUUUAUUUGUAGAGCAAAAAAAAAAAUUGAUAAUAAUAAUGAUUAUAAAUAUUAAUGAUAAUAUAAUAAUAAUAACCAUAAUAAAAAAAAAAAUCUUUAAAAAUGCCGUUGUGAAGGAAUGGCAUGUCUUCGUAAGCACCAAAGGAUUUAUUUAAUCUAUAACGGAAUCAUUUCCACAUUACAAGAAUUGCAGUACUCCUUCUCUCACUCUUUCAGCCAAGACUCGCAAAAAGGCUACAUGAUACGAGUGACAGCGCCUCGGAACUGAUGCACAGGAGCAUACAGGAGCAUUUUUUGGCCCUCGUUAUAUUCACCAUCUGUUUCCUUUACUCUUUUUUCUUUUCUUUUCUUUUUCUUUUGGUAUGUGUGUGUGUGUGUUUUAAGUAAUUUUUUUUUUUCUUCUUCUGAGGUAUUCUGUAAGUUACAAAACAAAUCCCACUGAAG